GAGAGAGGAGCCCAGCCCUGAGAUUUCCAGGUGUUUCCUUUCGGUGAUCAGCACUGAACACAGAGGACUCGCCAUGGAGUUUGGGCUGAGCUGGGUUUUCCUUGUUGCUAUUUUAAAAGGUGUCCAGUGUGAGGAGCAGCUGGUGGAGUCUGGGGGAGGCUUGGUACAGCCUGGGGCGUCCCUGAGACUCUCCUGUGCAGCCUCUGGAUUCACCUUCAGUAGCUAUGACAUGCACUGGGUUCGCCAGGCUCCAGGGAAAGGUCUGGAGUGGGUCUCAGCUAUUAGCAUUGGUGGAGGCACAUACUACCCAGACUCUGUGAAGGGUCGAUUCACCGUCUCCAGAGACAAUGCCAAGAACUCCUUGUAUCUUCAAAUGAACAGCCUGAGAGCUGAGGACACUGCUGUGUAUUACUGUGCAAGAGACACUGUGAGGGGAAGUCAGUGUGAGCCCAGACACAAACCUCCCUGCAGGGACACUGGAGGAAAUCAGCUGCAGGGGGCGCUCAGGACCCACUGA
This is a non-coding RNA of Mandrillus leucophaeus (drill), 517 nucleotides long. NCBI's taxonomy places the organism in Eukaryota, Metazoa, Chordata, Mammalia, Primates, Cercopithecidae. The record is from the annotation of a RefSeq genome assembly.